CCAUUAACACAAUUCUGCGCAAGAAACCAGUAACUAAAAUCACCAUGAUUACCCAUCCCAGUCUCAAUUCCAACCACCACCAGAUGAAUACAGAAAAAGGUCCUCUAUUUGUGAAAAAGGGAAAAAAAAAAAAAAAAAACAAAGAGUUUCCAAGCUAACCUAAGGUCCAAAGUCCAACCUUCAGAAAUUAUCCCCAAUCAUCCAAAAUAUGUCUUACCCUCACACAACAGCAGCAAUUUGACCUGCUUGACUCCAUAUUCCAG
This 263-nucleotide long non-coding RNA is filed under the name Vitis vinifera (wine grape). Its description in RNAcentral is "long non-coding RNA (VVIN_LNC001288)". The record is from RNAcentral. Lineage: Eukaryota; Viridiplantae; Streptophyta; Magnoliopsida; Vitales; Vitaceae.